GAGAAAUUGGGGUUAAUCCGCGAUAGAUGUAAUGUCCUGGAAUGGUAUUACGUCUAAAGGUAUUUCAUACAUGUUUGAAAUAUGCCUAAGGACGGGGCUGCGGCCGAUCAGGCUGUUGGUGAGGUAAUGGCUCACCAAACCUUUGACCGGUACGGGCCAUGAGAGUGGUAGCCCGGAGAUGGACACUGAGACAAGGGUCCAGGCCCUAAGGGGCGCAGCAACCGCGAAACCUCCACAAUGCACUCACGUGCGAUGGGGCUAUCUCGAGUGCCACCUGAUGAAGGUGGCUUUUCCUUGGUCUUCAAAGCCUUGGGAAUAAGAGGGGGGCAAGACUGGUGUCAGCCGCCGCGGUAACACCAGCCCCUCGAGUGGUGGGGAUGAUUAUUUGGCCUAAAGCGUCCGUAGCCGGCCGAGCAAGUCUUCCGUUAAAUCCAGCGUCUCAAGCGUUGGACCGCGGGAGAUACUACACGGCUAGAGAGUGGGAGAGGUCAGCGGUAUUCUGGGGGUAGGGGCGAAAUCCUUUGAUCCCCGGAGGACCACCAGUGGCGAAGGCUGCUGACUAGAACACGUCUGACGGUCAGGGACGAAAGCUGGGGUAGCGAACCGGAUUAGAUACCCGGGUAGUCCCAGCCGUAAACGAUGCAUGCUAGGUGUUGGGUUGGCCACGAGCCACCCCAGUGCCGCAGGGAAGCCGUUAAGCAUGCCGCCUGGGAAGUACGAUCGCAAGAUUGAAACUUAAAGGAAUUGGCGGGGGAGCACCACCAGGCGUGAAGCCUGCGGUUUAAUUGGAGUCAACGCCGGG
RNAcentral lists this ribosomal RNA (802 nucleotides) under uncultured archaeon. RNAcentral describes it as "bacterial SSU rRNA". It matches the Rfam family "Archaeal small subunit ribosomal RNA", at positions 134 to 922 of the family's 1478-position model. The record is from RNAcentral.